This 660-nucleotide ribosomal RNA is filed under the name uncultured bacterium. RNAcentral's name for it is "bacterial SSU rRNA". It matches the Rfam family "Bacterial small subunit ribosomal RNA", at positions 94 to 788 of the family's 1533-position model. The record is from RNAcentral.
AGUGGCGGACGGGUGAGUAACGCGUGAGAAUCUGCCUUGGGGUCGGGGACAACCACUGGAAACGGUGGCUAAUACCGGAUACGCCUUCGGGUAAAAGAUUUAUUGCCCUAAGAGGAGCUCGCGUCUGAUUAGCUAGUUGGUGAGGUAAGAGCUCACCAAGGCAGCGAUCAGUAGCUGGUCUGAGAGGACGAUCAGCCACACUGGGACUGAGACACGGCCCAGACUCCUACGGGAGGCAGCAGUGGGGAAUUUUCCGCAAUGGGCGAAAGCCUGACGGAGCAAGACCGCGUGAGGGAGGAAGGCUCUUGGGUUGUAAACCUCUUUUCUCAGGGAAGAAGCUCUGACGGUACCUGAGGAAUCAGCCUCGGCUAACUCCGUGCCAGCAGCCGCGGUAAUACGGAGGAGGCAAGCGUUAUCCGGAAUUAUUGGGCGUAAAGCGUCCGCAGGUGGCGAUUCAAGUCUGCUGUCAAAGCACGGGGCUUAACUCCGUAAAGGCAGUGGAAACUGAAUAGCUAGAGUGCCGUAGGGGUAGAGGGAAUUCCCGGUGUAGCGGUGAAAUGCGUAGAGAUCGGGAAGAACAUCGGUGGCGAAAGCGCUCUACUGGACGGCGACUGACACUCAGGGACGAAAGCUAGGGGAGCGAAUGGGAUUAGAUACCCC